AUCAGUUGAAUGAAGACCGUACCGUAAACCGACACAGGUGGGUAGGAUGAGAAUUCUAAGGCGCUUGAGAGAACUCAGGAGAAGGAACUCGGCAAAAUAGCACCGUAACUUCGGGAAAAGGUGUGCCCUUUGUAUGUGUAGCGCCUCGCGCGUGAAGCAGAAUAGGGUUGCAAUGAAAUGGUGGCUGCGACUGUUUAAUAAAAACAUAGCACUCUGCAAACACGAAAGUGGACGUAUAGAGUGUGACGCCUGCCCGGUCCCGGAAGGUUAAAUGAUGGGGUGCAAGCUCUUGAUUGAAGCCCCGGUAAACGGCGGCCGUAACAAUAACGGUCCUAAGGUAGCGAAAUUCCUUGUCGGGUAAGUUCCGACCUGCACGAAUGGCGUAAUGAUGGCCACACUGUCUCCUCCUGGGACUCAGCGAAGUUGAAAUGUUUGUGAAGAUGCAAUCUCCCCGCGGCUAGACGGAAAGACCCCGUGCACCUUUACUGUAGCUUUACAUUGGACUUUGAUAACAUUUGUGUAGGAUAGGUGGGAGGCUUUGAAGUGGGUUCGCCAGAAUUCAUGGAGCCAACGUUGAAAUACCACCCUGAUGUUGUUGAGGUUCUAACCUAGAUCCAUUAUCUGGAUUGGGGACCGUGUAUGGUAGGCAGUUUGGCUGGGGCGGUCUCCUCCCAAAUUGUAACGGAGGAGUACGAAGGUACGCUAGGUACGGUCGGAAAUCGUGCUGAUAGUGCAAUGGCAAAAGCGUGCUUAACUGCGAGACUGACAAGUCGAGCAGAUGCGAAAGCAGGUCAUAGUUAUCCGGUGGUUCUGUAUGGAAGGGCCAUCGCUCAACGGAUAAAAGGUACGCCGGGGAUAACAGGCUGAUUCCUCCCAAGAGUUCAUAUCGACGGGGGAGUUUGGCACCUCGAUGUCGGCUCAUCACAUCCUGGGGCUGUAGCCGGUCCCAAGGGUAUGGCUGUUCGCCAUUUAAAGUGGUACGUGAGCUGGGUUUAAAACGUCGUGAGACAGUUUGGUCCCUAUCUGCCGUGGGCGUUGGAAGUUUGAGUGGACCUGCUCCUAGUACGAGAGGACCGGAGUGGACGCACCUCUGGUGUACCGGUUAUGACGCCAGUCGUAUCGCCGGGUAGCUAUGUGCGGAAGAGAUAACCGCUGAAAGCAUCUAAGCGGGAAACUCUCCUCAAGAUGAGACUUCCCGAGGGUUUAACCCUCCUAAAGGUUCGUCGAAGACUACGACGUUGAUAGGUCGGGUGUGGAAGCAUAGUGAUAUGUUAAGCUAACCGAUACUAAUUG
RNAcentral lists this ribosomal RNA (1293 nucleotides) under metagenome. RNAcentral describes it as "bacterial LSU rRNA". It matches the Rfam family "Bacterial large subunit ribosomal RNA", at positions 1626 to 2907 of the family's 2925-position model. The record is from RNAcentral.